AAAGGGGCUGUGUGGGAACCGAGCCGCCCAGCUCUGCUCUGCCACACAGCUCCGUGCCCACUGCCACUGCAACGGUGCAGAGGAGCAGCACUGCUUCACUUCUGCCUUUGAAACCACAGCAAGCACGAUGCAAACCAAACCAUGGGUACCGAAGAUGUCCAAAGAGGCAGGCUGACUCUCCUGCCCUCGAAGACAGGUUUGGCUCCACGAGCAGGGCAUCGUGUGACUCCUGGAAUACAUUCUAUCUCAUACAUAGCCACUACGUGGUCUUCCCCCCCCCCCAAAUACACACAAUAGAGACUCUAAUCAGCAUGGUCUUGCAUAGAGAUUUUAAUAGCUGAGAAAAACGCAGUUGCAGUCACAUGUUCACUGGCCUGUUGUAACUAUUUCAAUUACCAAAGCAAAUGACCACAAUUUAAAUGUGCUGAUAAAGGGGAAGCUCAUUUACAGUGUGUAUAUAAGAAUAUCAUUAUUAGCUACAUAGACCCCUGUUCACAGCUGCAUGGGAAUUUUACCAGCGUGUAAAGUAUCUCCAUUUGGUGUACGCUAUGGUACAGUCCUCAUGAUUAAAUUUCUGCCUUUCAAGCAAAAAAUCACCAAUAACACCUGCUGCUGCAUUGACUGGUCCAAUACGGACUUACCAACGACUCCCAAUAGUGAGUCAUCAAACUCAAUUUGCUUCAGCAUGCAAAAAAGCCCCCUGUAUUUUAGCACCUUCUACUCACAGCAGUGAGAGAUGACACCUAAAAGAACUCCGGCCCUGGUAUGGUGUGCACUAACACCAGCAAAGCUGUUUGAUUUACAUCAAGAAACAGAUGUCCCUCAAGUGAUCUUGAGAUUUUCAGCACUUGGUAUAUUUGCCCUUGCUUCUAUCCACAUCCAGCCAGCACUGGACUUGGCUAUUACUGUCCAACAGACUUACUGAUGCAUUGGAUAUCUGCUUCAAGGUUUCAAAAUGCCUGGAUACACCAACAGGUACCAAAGAAUUAAAGGGCUUUGUGGCCCAUGGUUGUGUUGUCCAUUUUUGUUGGGAAUGACACGAGAAAUACACUGAGCAGCACACUGUAUUAAACUGCAAAGAAAGCUAAAAUUACUUUAGAAAAGCCUCAUUUCAUGAUCAAGGCCUCAAUGUUUUGCAUCAUUCUCUCACAUGCUUUCUGGUUCAGGUUCCUUCCACCACUUAGCCUGGCACGCAAACACAUUAAAACCCUCUUUUGAUAGGAGGAGUCCAAGAAGGACACUGUGCUUAAGACCUCAUGGGCUGUCUUUUUAAUAUAUAUUAGCAAGAUGACGGAUACCCUGAGUGGACCAGUCAGGGAAAGCAAACGAAGACAAGAAAUAUUCUCAGGGUGUUAUUGAUUAUCUGUUUUUCAGAGCAGAGGGAAUCGUUUUUAACUGGUUUAAACUAUGAUGGACUCAAGUGGAAAACGCAAGGAGAGUUAGCGAGGAGCAUAAUUGACUGGGCAUGGAACUCAGUAACCUCUCAGCACGCUGGAAGUGGUGGAGCAGAGGGGUUACGGCCAGGGCUGCUCCGCACCCACAGCCCUUUCUUCCCAAAGUGAACUCCGCCAGCAGCCAAAGACGGCAAUGACAACAAAAGUGUCAUGCCACAUUAUCAUCUUGCCGGCUCACACACUCCUGCCUGACAAGUUCUCUCUGCCCCUUGUGACAACCAUUCCAGGCUUAUGCUGUUUAUUUUUGGUGUCAGGCUGGCCCUGGCAGAUUGAAAGGCAACCUCAACCCCUUGAACAACAAGCACCACACCCCACUUGGCGAUAAGAGAUGAUUUGAGAAGAUAUUUGCUUACAUGUGUAUAAGCAAUUUGCUGUAUGAUGAAGCCCCGGUGUGCCUGUGUGAACGCACACGUAUGUGUGCAAAGGGGAAGGAACUGCAGAAGCGUAACAUUUCAUGAGAAAACAAACAAUUCAUUGCGGAUCCCAGGUAGCAGGCUUCAAUCAUCACAUCCCAUCGUACACACAGAACGUGAAACGUGGGCCACAAAGGCACCACGGGUACUCCCCACAAAGAGAAACGACAGCUAAGCUCGGUCUGUCCCUGCAAAACAGCCUCGCUGUGUCCCUGCAGAGCGCUGCGAGAUGCAGCGGCAGAGGCACCCCAUAGGAGGAAUGGGGACAAAACACGACAGUUCACUGCAGAAACACGCUAGGGCCAGAUUCAUCUCUGCUGUCAUGGAGUCCAUUUGGAACAGCACUGUUGUCAUUGAAUUACUUGGGACUGCCUGCAAUUGGAAUCACAGAACCUUGUCUUCAAGUAGCAGGCUGCGUGCAUCAUGGAGACUUCCUUUUAACUAUCCAAUUUUUACAGCCUGUACAUAAGCAGGACUAUGUCUACAGCUAGGGUUUCUUGGUGUAAGCACAAUUAAAGCUGAUAGUAAUUACAAAAGUAUGUAUUACAUUUGUUUUUAACGCUAAACUUAAGAAUACGGCAGUAUUUGUUUUAUGUUUACUUGGCUGGUUGAGGUGGUGGUGGUAGAGCAGGGCUUCUCUCCACUCCGAGUCAGGGAUAGCGUCCCACCCUCCCACCUCACCAGGCACAGAACAAGCUGCUCCUGGACCAACUGUUCCAUUGCUACCUGUCAGGAGGAAAGCUGCAGGGAAUCGGACAUGAUGUCCGGGUAGCAGCAGCACGAAGGAGAAAUGAAGGAGCAGGUUGGCAGAUCAACACAGAUUUCAUAUUUACUAUCCAGCCCAGUUAUUGUAGGCUGUGCCUACAGCUGUGCACUUGAUUUAGUUUACAGGCACUGCUUCAGCCCUGGUAAGAGGUGGGAGUGUGCUUCACCGCGGCGUUUACACAGAUCACAACGUAAACAAAACUUGACCCAACACCUUUUAUGUUAUCUCAGAGAAAGAAUCAUAAACUGAGCAAAAUCCACACCAUUAACUCCAGUGCAGUCUUUGAUCAAAUCGGGAGCUAAAAGGAAAACAGAUUUCCUUAAAAACAAACUAACAAAGCAGUAUGUGCAUUUCAUUUUUAAUCCAUUUUCUAGCAACCACACCAUAGAAAGGCAGAGGCUCACAACAGCAAUGCAUCUGAACACAAAAUAUGGCCAUCCCAAGGCACACUAAUGGCAUCCACAGCGCUGGUAAGAGGGAGCACGGAUGUUUUUACAACUGUAGGAUGGGGAAAAUUACUGUUGAUUAUGGAGCAGCAAUGAAAUGCCACAGUUGUGAGUGAUAAACACAGCAAAUGCUACAGGGGGUCCUUCUGGAAAAGGAAAAAAGGGGAACGUUUCGUCAUGCAGAAAAAUAUCCCAGGAAAAAAGGAUGGAGGUGACGCCUGCGUGGCUGUUACCAACCACGGGCUUCAUUCUGCCCCCAGCUGCACACGUGCAACCCAUCACCAGGUAAGAUUUCUCAGUUUCUAUAGCGAAUGCAGGUGUACACCUAAGGGCAGAUUGUAACUUCCUCUCUCAAACAAAACACAGCGAAUGGAGACGGGCUCCCAUUGCAGCAGAACACUGCACAGCCACUUUGCCCUACAGGAAACACCGUAUGCAUGUCAGCCAGCAGAACCUUCUUACUUCUUCUCGUUAGUACUGUGCAUACGCAACCAGAUGCAAAUAUAUACACUUGCAUGCAUUGCUACUGCCACAUAACCCAGCCUGGGAUAUCCCAUUCCCAAACACCUGAGUACCUACACAGCUCUUCAUGGGUGCAAAGCCUCCAGGACUGCAGCAAUGAAACAGCGGAACAGAACUCACAUUGCCUGCGAGGCCCAUCUAUUCAUCUCUGCCCACAAGACUCCCUCGCACCACUGCAUGCUUUUUAUACUUCAUUAAAGCAAAUCACUGAUGUUCUUCAGCUGACAAACAUCCCCGGAAAGGAUGCAAAGAGCGGCAAGAAUUCGGCUUUGGCAAGCAGAUCUAUUUUCAUCUUACAUUUACAGUUGCUUGUGCAUAUCUAUAUAUCCAUCUGCAUCCCUAUCUUCAUAAAAACCUAACUGCAACAAAAUAAAUGAUAAUAAUUCUGCUGUUUCUGUUUCCGCUCUUCCCCAUCAGAAAGCUGGUAAUAAAACAAGCUCUCUAAAACAGGCAUUACCAACCCAGGCCAUGCAAACAAACACUUCACUGUUUUAUAAUCUCACAUGUCGAAUGAACAUCAUCGUUCCCUUUGGUGCCUUAAAAUAUCGGGUCCAUAAAAUUACUAAAAGGCAGAGCAGCAAUGCUGCCUAACACGCAGCCCACGGGAAGGCUGACAGUGCCCCAUCAGCUUCGCUUGUUGGCAGCUCUGAAUGUGCGUAGCACUGUUGGUUGGGCAAAGCGCUCACAGAGCACUGCGUGAACACAGCCGGGCCGUGGGAGCAGCACACCACGAGGUGACCCCGAGCCCUGGGGAUGCGGAUGGUGCAGUGUCCCUUUGGCCUUCUGCAGGCGGAAGAUGCCAGCACUUAUCCUAGCUGUGCAGCACAGAGGGCUCAAGGAGAAAUACCGUGGGACACCAGAUAUGGGCAUUAGAGCGCAAUCCCUUACAGAGCGUGGUCAGUCCACUGCUGUAGUUGGUUUUAAACAGCACUGUGCACUGCGUGAUGGAUGUUGACAAAAAAAAACAACCCCAUAAUUACAAACAAACAAAAAAAAA
This is a long non-coding RNA of Gallus gallus (chicken), 4598 nucleotides long. The record is from Ensembl. Lineage: Eukaryota; Metazoa; Chordata; Aves; Galliformes; Phasianidae.